UGGGGAAUUUUGGACAAUGGGCGCAAGCCUGAUCCAGCCAUUCCGCGUGAGUGAAGAAGGCCUUCGGGUUGUAAAGCUCUUUCGCAAGGGAAGAAAACUUACUCAAUAACACUGGGUGAGGCUGACGGUACCUUGAUAAGAAGCACCGGCUAACUACGUGCCAGCAGCCGCGGUAAUACGUAGGGUGCGAGCGUUAAUCGGAAUUACUGGGCGUAAAGCGUGCGCAGGCGGUUUUGUAAGUCAGAUGUGAAAUCCCCGGGCUCAACCUGGGAACUGCGUUUGAAACUACAAGGCUAGAGUGUAGCAGAGGGGGGUAGAAUUCCACGUGUAGCAGUGAAAUGCGUAGAGAUGUGGAGGAAUACCAAUGGCGAAGGCAGCCCCCUGGGUUAACACUGACGCUCAUGCACGAAAGCGUGGGGAGCAAA
RNAcentral lists this ribosomal RNA (425 nucleotides) under uncultured bacterium. RNAcentral's name for it is "bacterial SSU rRNA". It matches the Rfam family "Bacterial small subunit ribosomal RNA", at positions 355 to 772 of the family's 1533-position model. The record is from RNAcentral.